RNAcentral lists this ribosomal RNA (395 nucleotides) under uncultured bacterium. RNAcentral describes it as "bacterial SSU rRNA". It matches the Rfam family "Bacterial small subunit ribosomal RNA", at positions 9 to 386 of the family's 1533-position model. The record is from RNAcentral.
GAGUUUGAUCGUGGCUCAGGACGAACGCUGGCGGCGUGCUUAACACAUGCAAGUCGAACGGAGUGCCUAUGACAGAGACUUCGGUCAAUUGAUUAGGUUACUUAGUGGCGGACUGGUGAGUAACGCGUGAGGAACCUGCCUUUCAGAGGGGGACAACAGUUGGAAACGACUGCUAAUACCGCAUGAUGCAUGACUGGGGCAUCCCGGACAUGCCAAAGAUUUAUCGCUGAAAGAUGGCCUCGCGUCUGAUUAGAUAGUUGGUGGGGUAACGGCCUACCAAGUCGACGAUCAGUAGCCGGACUGAGAGGUUGACCGGCCACAUUGGGACUGAGAUACGGCCCAGACUCCUACGGGAGGCAGCAGUGGGGAAUAUUGGGCAAUGGACGCAAGUCUGA